AGUUUCAUAGAUACUUAUAGCAAUCCAAUCUUGGAAAAGUUAGUUAAAUUUGUGAGAAGGCAAGGAGAGAAAGUAAAGACUUUUCAUUUCUGCCUUUCCAGUAAACAAUACUGCUCUCCAUUUGAUAUUCAAGUUCUAAGUCCCCUCUCAUUCACUCUGUCUAUUGGUCGGUCUAUCUGUCUGUCUGUCUGUCUCUCUCUCUCUCUAGCUGAGAGACUGCAUGUCUAUUGAAUAUAUAUAGAACUUUAAAGGAUAUAUAAAUAAGAUAAUGAUGGAAAUAAGAAUUUAAAAGUAAUACAUCAUCCCUUUUUUUCAUUUUAAGGUACAGUAUUCAACUGUGUUUUUUCCACCCAAAGGGAACAUAUAGGCUGAUGGUAUUGAAAAGUUCAGGCACUGGCUGCAUCAACUUAAGGCUCAGCUGUGCCCUGGUGCUCUAAUAAUGUUGUCAGUACCUGGACUCUCCUUUUAUUUCUCAUUCGUAGAUCAACUCUGUUCUAUUUGGACUUUCUUCCCAAGAAGGCUGUUGUCACUUAGUGUUCCUUGGCCAUCUCUACCCGCUACCUGCUCAUUAAAAGUGAGGUUAUUAGGAGAAUUACAUUAGCUGAUACCAGCAGUGUCUAGAAGAAGGGUAACAUAUGGAUAAUAUUUCAUAAGUGUUAGUUUUUCUGUCUUUGCUCACUGUUCAAGCAUGAGUCCAGGAAGAGAAUUUCAUUACCCUGCUCAAGCCUUAAUUAGUCAGUGUGAUUAGUAACUCAAAUAUUGUAGAUGUCAAGCCUAUGUCAUUAGUCCAACCUUGGAACAGGAAGGGAUGUGUUUGUGGUCAGCUAUAUCUGACAUUCUUGACUGGAUUGUUGUGGAAGGGGGUUCUCUGAAGGGAAAACAGACGCCAAGAAGGCAAAACAAACAAACCAACAAAAUGCCUGAUUACUUGAUAUUCCCCAAACAUUAGCAUGUUCAUUUGGAGUUGUGCAUAUGCACAUAUAAAAUAUACUGAUGAAUUCCCAUUUUCACUUGAAAGAUGAUGUCUACUGUUUUCUAUGUCAUUCAAAAUUUCCAGUUACAAUGGAGAGAAAUAUUCAGAGUGAACAUUACUUGAUUCUUUAAGUGUUGGAGGAGUAAAAGUUUUCUUUGUGAAAUAAAAAUAAGUAUAUUUAUGUCUUUGGUGGUUAAUUAUUUAAUCAAGUUAUAACUUUUAUUUGCAUAGAAUGAAUUUUUAUUGUUUCCUCAAAAUACUAAUCUUUUAGCAGCAAAAUUUAUUAAGCAUUUUUUUUACUGCCAACACUCUUUCCUGCCUCCUCUGUGUUUUAACUUAGGUUACAAUUUGCAUAAGCCAUUGGUUAUUGAAAAACAUAUUUUCAGGUUUUCAAUAUGAUCUCAAAGUUUAUUUUUUAUAAAUAAGUCAUAUUAAUGUGCUUAUUAUUAUUUAAGUGCUUUCUUAUCAAGGAGAAGAGUAGGUUAUUUGACGAGGUAUUUUUAAGAUUUAGAUUUAUAAUUUCAUCAGGAAAUUGGAUAUUGUUUGGUUCAAAUCUAAUUAAAUUAAAUUUGGGGCCUGUGCAUGUUUUUGAAGACAAUCUACUAUGUUAUUAACUUACCAGCAAUUAUACUGAAAAUUAAUACUUCAAACAUCAUACUAAUUGCAUUUUUCUAAAAUCUUAAGCAUAUAUACAUGCAUUUAAAUUACUAUACUUAUCUAUAGUAAUUAUGUUUAUAAUCAUUUUAUUCUUAUUUUCUCAGAUCUUAAAAAUUUCUGGAAAAUAUUUAAAAUAAUGUGGGCUUUUCAUAACGCAGUCAAUAUAAUAGUAUUUUCGCUCUGAAAAUGUUCAUGUUAAAUUAAAAUUUAAUUUAUUCUGUAACAUAAACCCCCAAUUUCUUAUAAUAGCAGCCAAUAUGAGAGGUGAUUUCCUUUGAUUCUAAGUGAAUUCUUGAUUUCAGGUGGAGUUUUGCACAAGUUAUUUGUGAUUUCUGUUUCCGGUUUGACAGCUGUUUUCAUCAUUUCCAUAUGAACUGUUAUUUAUACCUUAAUGUUAAGCUUCUAGGAAUUCUUUACUAUCUCACAACCAUAUUCUAAUACUUUUAAUCUUUCCUCCAGCCCCCUCAGGAUCACUCUCUUUCUAUUUAAAUUACAAUAAUCUUUUUACAAUUUUUAUUACCCCCGAAAUCACUCUAUAUAUCAAUAUUCUGAUAUUCUUAUUACUCAGAAAGACAUUCCUCUAUUGGUCAAGACUUGAGGUUUACGGGGGUAAAUAAUGUAUAACUUCACAUUCUCAAGCUGGUCUUCUUUACCAGAAGGUCCAGUUAACUUUACCUUUCUAAGCUACUGAAGAAUAGCAGUAAUAAAUUUUCAUUUAUGAAAUGGAUCCGUCUUGAACCAUGACCCUUCUGAGAGAUUCCAUCUCUCCUAUCUAUGCUCUGUGAAGUAUGCUGCGUGCCAAAGGAGAACUUUCAAAAUAUUUCUGUCAUGUGAAAGCUGCAAUACAGUUCUCACAGAAAGAACUCUCCUGGUAUCAGAUUUAUACAACAUAGCCAGAACGGCAUUGUGUACGCAACCUAAACCUGAUGUGUGUGUGGAUUCAGAAUCAAGCCCUUAGAAUUUUGGGUUUAUAUUUGGGAUCCUAAAGAGUUCACAAAGAUGGCCAUAGUUAUGAACAACAGCAAGGACACCAGCAACAACAACAAAUCUUUACAUGGCAUCUUCGGAAUCUAAAAUUUUGUAGCGUAUUUUUAUCUGUUCAUAGAAUACCUAUGGUAAAGAUACAGAAAGUAUAAAUAUCUUCAGGCUCAGGGUUGGGGAUAUAAAUGUAAGUCAAGAAGCCAAGCCCCAAAACCAUUUCUGUGCCAGCCAAGCAAGUACCAUAACUUCAUGAUUUAACUUUGAUCAAGUGGGCAUUUUUUUCCCUCCAGUUCCAAUAUUGCUUAACCAGGGAUUGAAAAAGAGUUAAAUGGAAAUCCAAAAUCUUCCCUGAGUUGAUUUAGACUUUUCCUCUUUAUGAAACUGCAACCAGAAAAUAGUGUAGGAUUUCGUGAAAAGUGAAAGGAGAUGUAUCAGGGAUUGCAGGGUCCUCUAAAGCUGCUUUUAAAGAAGUCUGUAGGGUAAUUGGAAAACUAGAUCCUCCAGCCUAGUGUCAGGUAUAUGUUAAAUCCCAGUUUUAAUUUACAGCCCGUAAUAUAGUUUCUUUGGCCAUGAUUCAUAAAUCCCCAUCUUAGCCCACGACUGCUGCAUGAUAAUGGUGCUUUCUCCAGAGCAGUUUCUAUCUCUACUAAGCCUGCCUCUCAGGCCACUGAAGCUUCCGCUUAGAGAACCCCACCCAAUGCCGGUCUUAACAAAUACACAGCCUUAUUGAAAAUGUGCGGGUGCCUUGCAUUGUUAUGCAGGUCCAUGGUCAUUAAAAUUUUAUCAUAUAAACCCUGCUGUCUGCACAGAAGAGGAAUAUAAAAUGUUGGCAAGGGAUGAUCACAUAUUUUAUCAGAAUCUCCUGAAAGAGAAAACCAACAUGUUUAGAGCAGGAAGGAACCAAAAUAACAUCACCUUUAAUUUAAAUAGUACAAAAUGUCAAAAACCCUGAAAUUGACAUAUAUCUGCUGUGGUUCAUUUUCACAUUUCCUUGAGAUGUCUCCGUUUCCUGAAGUGCAUGACAGUUUGAUCCAGUUGCAAAGAUAUGAUUUUCAUAUGUUUUUCGUGGAAAGCUGACGUUAUUCAAAAGAUGCCCCAGACCUAAAGACAGCAUGCUAUUGAUUAGAGUGUUAAUUUAACAAAAGGCUGAGAGAUUAGUGGAAUUAGGGUUUUAGAUAGGGGUAGAGAUUUGAAUGACUGGAAACUUGAUUUGGGGAAUAUAUUUUAACUUAAUGAAUACGGAUAAAAUAUGAAAGAGUGGGACAAAACCAAUCUCACAGUACCUAUACCAAUUUUUGUGAAAGGAACAUGCAUUCCCCCACCAAAAUAGUCUUCUUUACAGUUGUGUCUGAAUACAUUUUGUUUAUUGUGAGAUGUGGCAUUUUGUUUUUCCUUUUUCGAUUUAGAACAGACUGUGACUCUCCUAAAAUGCUCCUGUGCUGUUCCAAUUUCCGUCAAUGGCAUGAGUAAUCACUUUGAAAAGAGAAAAUCUAUCAGAGCUUUGAAAAUGUAUAGGAGUUGUUCUUUCUUAUCAUAUUUUAACAUUUUAUUGUUUGGAACAGUUUUAAUGGUUUAUAACUAUAAGUUUUCAAAGUUAAAAUAAGAGUAUAGUCAGAUAACUUUUAAGGAGUUGAGAAAAUCAACCAAGAAAAACGUUGCAUGGCAUAAUGACAUAUAUAUAUACAUUCAUGUAUAUAUAAAUAAUAUUUUUUCAUAUUAUUUUCCAUUACGUUUUAUCCCAAGGGAUUGGAUAGAGUUCCUUGUGCUAUACAGUAGGAUGUCAUUCCUUAGCCAUUCUAAAUGUAAUAGUUUGCAUCUACCAGCCCCAAACUCCAAGUCCAUCCCACUCCCUUCCCCCUCUACCUCAGCAACCACAAAUCUGUUCUCUAGGUCUAUGAGUCUAUUUCUGUUCUGUGGAUAGGUUCAUUUGUGCCAUAUUUUGGAUUCCAGAAAUUCACACAACACUGUAAAUAAACUAUACUCUAAAAAAAGAGAAAGAACAAAUGUUGGAUUAUGUGCUAAACUUCUAAAUAUUUGUAUUAUUUUUUGCAUAGAUAAAACAAGGGUUCUUAUCCUUGGUAAUCUGGCUCUGCAAAGUGCUGUAGAAGUAGUAGUGAUGGGUUUUCCUUGAUAUAUUUUUCUCCCUCUUCAGUCUUUUGAGAUUGUUGUGGAGACAGACUUGGUGGGGAGAUUUCUUGAGUCCAAGAAAAGUUAAUUAAUCUAUGUUCAAAUUUACCUUAGAUGUCUUAUCAUAAUUACCAUCUAUUUUUCUCUAAUAAGUCAAACAUUAAUACAUAAUUUUUUUUUCUUUAGAAUGACUUUUAUUUUUUCCAUCAUAGCUGUUUUACAGUGUUCUAUCAAUAUUCUACUCUACAGCAGGGUGACCCAGUCACACAUACAUACAUUCUUUUUCUCAUAUUAUCCUCCAUCAUGCUCCAUCAUAAGUGACUAGAUAUAGUUUCUAGUGCUAUAUAGGAGGAUCUCAUUACUUAUCCAUUCCAAAGGCAAAAGUUUGCAUCUAUUAACCCCAAAUUCCUAGUCCAUCCCACUCCCUCCCCUUGGCAACCACAAGUGUUAUUUGUGGACUUACUAAUGAUGGCCAUACUUACUGGGGUGAGGUGAUAACUCAUAGUAGCCUUGAUUUGCAUUUCUCUAAUAAUCAGUGAUGUUGAGCAUUUUUUUCAUGUGAUUGUUGGCUAUCUUCUUUGGAGAAAUGUCUAUUCAGGUCAUCCACCCAUUUUUCCAUUGGGUUGAUGGCUUUUUUGCUGUUAAGUUGUAGAAGUUGUUUGUAUAUUCUAGAGAUUAAUCCCUUGUCGGUUGCAUCAUUUGAAACUAUUUUCUCCCAUUCUGUAAGUCUUCAUAUAUAUAUGAAGCUUGUCUAAAAGCUUGUUAGUUUCAUUAGGUCCAAUUGGUUUAUGGUUGCUUUUAUUUCUGAUGCCUGGGGAGACUGACCUAAGAAAACAUUUGUAAGGUUGAUGUCAGAGAAUGUUUUGCCUAUAUUCUCUUCCAGGAGUUUGAUGGUGUCUUGUCUUGCAUUUCAGUCUUUAAGCCAUUUUGAGUUUAUUUUUGUGCAUGGUGUGAGAGUGUAUUCCAGUUUCAUUGAUUUACAUGUGGCUGUCCAGUUUUCCCAGCAUCACUUGCUGAAAGGACUGUCUUUUUUCCCAUUUUAUAGUCUUGUCUCUUUGUUGAAGAUUAAUUGACUGUAGGUGUCUGGGUUUAUUUCUGGGUUCUCUAUUCUAUUCCAUUGGUCUGCAUGUCUGUUUUUGGUACCAGUACCACACUCUCUUGAUGACUGUGGCUUUGUAAGAUUGCCUGAAGUCUUGGAGAAUUAUGCCUCAUGCUUGUUUUUUGUUCCUCAGGAUUGCUUUAAAAAUUCUGGGUCUUUUGUGGUUCCAUAUAAAUUUUUGGAUUGUUUGUUCUAGUUCUGUGAAAAAUGUCAUUGGUAAUUUGAUAGGGAUUGCCUUGAAUCUGUAGAUUGUUUUGGGUAGUAUGGCCAUUUUUAUCAUGUUAAUUUUUCCAAUCCAGGAGCAUGGAGUAUCUUUCCAUUUCUUUGAAUCCUCUUUAAUUUCCUUGAUUAAUGUUUUAUGAUUCUCAGCAUAUAAGUCUUUCACCUCCUUGGUCAGGUUUAUUCCCAGAUAUUUAAUUUUUUGUGGUGCAAUUUUUAAAAGGUUUUUUUUUUUUCUUGCUUUUUAGGGCCACACUCAGUGCAUAUGGAAAUUCCCAGCUUGGGAACCUCCAUAUGAUGCAGGCAUGGCCCUUAAAAAAAUAUAUCACUAUCCAUUUUACUUACCAAAAGUAAAACAAAACAUCGUCUAUUUGAAAUUUUUAAGUUUUAACAGUGAUUUUCUUAUAAAAUAAUUUGAAUUGAGUCUGAAUUUCUUUCUAAUUUUUACUGUUUUCAGUGAAUAGAUAUUUCAUUUAUUUGUUUUAUCAUCACUGAAUUGAAAUGUACAUUAAGUGUUCAAAAGAUAUUGAAUGUCUUGCUUCAUAGACUGUCUGGGAAUGAUUUCCAGCCUAAGAAGGCUCAAUCAAAUAUUCCUUAAGCAAUAAAGACAUUUAAAAAUCUCACAUCACAGGAAAUGGGGAGGUAAGCAACCCUGGGGAUCAGUGACUCAGUGAUGUGAGUGUACCAUUUGUGAAGGGUAGAAUUUUCAAAAUUCUCUUGUUCGCCCUGACAAGAUGCUGAUCACAGCACUGAGUAUCAUGGCCUCACACCCUUGUUCCACACAGAAAGGCAUUCUUUAAAUCAACAUACAGCAUAUACAACCUAAACAUCUAUUUUCUCACAGAUUGGAUAACAAUAUUUUUUUUCUUUUCAGUCUUCUGUAUCUCAUCUAUGAUAGAUGAACUCAGGCCCUCUCUAGCUUUGACAAAAAGCUUCUUGACCAAUGGGUUAGUUCAUUUUAUCCUCCCUUUAUUAUUAUCUUUUCCAUGCUUAUCUAGUACUGUCGCUUAUACAAACACCAACUUCUCAUUGCAGGCAUGCAGAGCUCUAACUAGAAAGAAUAUGUCAUUAUCUGCUUCAAAAUCCAGCAAAAAGAUCAAUGUCCUAUUGAUAACAGAGGAUCACAGCACAAAGAAAGAGAAAUACUAGUUCUCAUUGCUAUGAGGUGACUAUCAUAGCCUCUUUCUUUGUAUAUUUAUGCAGAAGGAAAGGGGAAAAAAAAAAAAA
This 7283-nucleotide long non-coding RNA is filed under the name Sus scrofa (pig). RNAcentral describes it as "lncRNA (ENSSSCG00035036176.1)". Lineage: Eukaryota; Metazoa; Chordata; Mammalia; Artiodactyla; Suidae. The record is from RNAcentral.